UGUGAUUUCUUCUUUGGUCCUUCCCUCUUUUCUUCCCUCUCGUCUCUCUACUCCGCCUCUCCUCUCACCACCGUCCGCCACUCCGCCGCUCCCCAAACCCUACUCAUCGCUUCCUCGUCUCACUCUCAAGGUCGCUGCAGCACUCGCUGGCUUGUCACGCGCCUGAGAUUACCUGCUCGAGAAGAACCUCGUCGCUGCCUUCACGAGAGCGUCGCGUCUUUGUCUGAAAAAUGAGCGUCACCGUCGCCGUCGCCGUGUUCCCUAUAAUAGUGAGCUGUGUGCAUCGUCAUUGCGGUUUUCGUCGCAGUAGUGAGUGUCGCCAUCAUCCUCGCAACAACCUUCGCAGUCACUGCAGCAAUCGUUGGUUCAUCGCGCGCCUAAGACGCCACGGCCGAGGAGAACAUUGUCGCCAUCUUCACGGGAGUGUCGCCGUCUUCACGAGAGCGUCCCCUUCUCCGUCGCAGCAGUGAGCGUCGCCAUCGCAGCAGUGAGCAUCAAGGUUCACCUUCUUCCGAUUUGAUUCUUCUAUUCUAUUUCUCUGUGUCAAUGAUCUUCUUCCUUAAAAAAAUUUUCAUUAGUUUCUAGGUCAUUGUAAAAUUCAUAGACUCUGUUCUAGCUAAUAGGUUCAAGUUUACACCCCCUUUUGGAAAAAAUGGCAGUGAUUGAUGAAAUAGAUAAUUAAUUUCUAAAGGAAUGCAGGUUUUUGCUGUUGAUGAUGAUUGAACAUGUCUUAUGGUUUUGAAGAUUUUAUUUAAAAGUGACAUUUUUUUCUUCAGUGUAAGUUAAUUUAAUUUGAAUCUAUAUGUUAUUUUGUUGUUUGGUUUUUCAUGUAACAAAUUUUAUCAUAAGUUUUAUUUGAUAUGCAUACUCUUUCAAUUUUAA
This is a long non-coding RNA of Arachis duranensis, 882 nucleotides long. RefSeq lists it as uncharacterized. The record is from RefSeq and is a predicted model, not a curated record. The transcript has 2 exons. NCBI's taxonomy places the organism in Eukaryota, Viridiplantae, Streptophyta, Magnoliopsida, Fabales, Fabaceae.